AAAAAACAUGUCCUUUUGUUUUUAUUUAUUUAAGGUUUGACCUGCCCACUGAUUUUUUUUAUUUUGAAUGGCCGCAGUAAUUUGACUGUGCAAAGGUAGCAUAAUCAUUAGUUUUUUAAUUGAAAGCUUGUAUGAAUGGUUGGACGAAGUAUGAUCUGUCUUUAUUUAAUUUAUUGUAGAAUUUAAUUUUUAAGUUAAAAAGCUUAAAUAUUUAUAAAAGACGAGAAGACCCUAUAAAUCUUUAUAUUAUUUUAAAUUAUUUUAAUGAAGAGUAUUUAAUUUAUAAUUUUAUUAUAAUAUUUUAUUGGGGUAAUAGGAUAAUUAAAUAAAUUUAUUUUGUUUUUAUACAUUAAUUUAUGAUUUUUUUGAUCCAAUAUAUUUUGAUUAUAAGAUUAAGUUACUUUAGGGAUAACAGCGUAAUUUUUUUAAAGAGUUCAUAUCGAUAAAAAAGUUUGCGACCUCGAUGUUG
Molecule: ribosomal RNA, 469 nt
Filed under: Madaglymbus sp. BI-2011
Lineage: Eukaryota; Metazoa; Arthropoda; Insecta; Coleoptera; Dytiscidae
Description: partial 16S ribosomal RNA
Source: RNAcentral